Armillaria novae-zelandiae is the source of this 91-nucleotide non-coding RNA. The record is from the annotation of a GenBank genome assembly. NCBI's taxonomy places the organism in Eukaryota, Fungi, Basidiomycota, Agaricomycetes, Agaricales, Physalacriaceae.
GGCACUAUAGCCAAGUGGUUAAGGCGAUAGAUUCGAAUCAUGAUUCAUCUAUUACUCUCUGAGUGCGCAGGUUCAAAUCCUGCUGGUGUCG